GACGAACGCUGGCGGCGUGCUUAACACAUGCAAGUCGAGCGGUAAGGCCCUUUCGGGGGUACACGAGCGGCGAACGGGUGAGUAACACGUGGGUGACCUGCCCUCAGCUCUGGGAUAAGCCUGGGAAACCGGGUCUAAUACUGGAUAUGACUCCAUGACGCAUGUUGUGGGUGAAAGCCUUGUGCGGCUGAGGAUGGGCCCGCGGCCUAUCAGCUUGUUGGUGGGGUGAUGGCCUACCAAGGCGACGACGGUAGCCGGCCUGAGAGGGCGACCGGCCACACUGGGACUGAGACACGGCCCAGACUCCUACGGGAGGCAGCAGUGGGGAAUCUUGCGCAAUGGGCGAAAGCCUGACGCAGCGACGCCGCGUGA
This 372-nucleotide ribosomal RNA is filed under the name uncultured bacterium. RNAcentral's name for it is "bacterial SSU rRNA". It matches the Rfam family "Bacterial small subunit ribosomal RNA", at positions 28 to 404 of the family's 1533-position model. The record is from RNAcentral.